Molecule: ribosomal RNA, 425 nt
Filed under: uncultured bacterium
Lineage: Bacteria
Description: partial 16S ribosomal RNA
Rfam family: Bacterial small subunit ribosomal RNA
Source: RNAcentral
GUGGGGAAUCUUGCGCAAUGGGCGAAAGCCUGACGCAGCCAUGCCGCGUGAAUGAUGAAGGUCUUAGGAUUGUAAAAUUCUUUCACCGGGGACGAUAAUGACGGUACCCGGAGAAGAAGCUCCGGCUAACUUCGUGCCAGCAGCCGCGGUAAUACGAAGGGGGCUAGCGUUGCUCGGAAUUACUGGGCGUAAAGGGCGCGUAGGCGGACAGCUUAGUCAGAGGUGAAAGCCCAGGGCUCAACCUUGGAAUUGCCUUUGAUACUGGAUGUCUUGAGUUUGGGAGAGGUGAGUGGAACUCCGCGUGUAGAGGUGAAAUUCGUAGAUAUUCGGAAGAACACCAGUGGCGAAGGCGACAUACUGGUCCAUUACUGACGCUGAGGCUCGAAAGCGUGGGGAGCAAACAGGAUUAGAAACCCUUGUAGUCC